UCGGGAAUAUUGGUCAAUGGGCGCAAGCCUGAACCAGCCAUGCCGCGUGCAGGAUGUAGGCCCUCAGGGUUGUAAACUGCUUUUGUAUGGGAAUAAAAAAGUCCUUGCGAGGACUCUUGAAGGUACCAUAAGAAUAAGCACCGGCUAACUCCGUGCCAGCAGCCGCGGUAAUACAGAGGGUGCGAACGUUGCUCGGAAUGACUGGGCGUAAAGCGCGGGCAGGUGGCCCGUUAAGUCGGCUGUGAAAUCCCCUGGCUCAACCAGGGAAGUGCAGUCGAUACUGGCGGGCUCGAGUCCCGGAGAGGGUGGUAGAAUUCCCAGUGUAGAGGUGAAAUUCGUAGAUAUUGGGAGGAAUACCGGUGGCGAAGGCGACCGCCUGGACGGGUACUGACACUGAGGCGCGAAAGCGUGGGGAGCAAACAGGAUUAGAUACCCGUGUAGUCC
RNAcentral lists this ribosomal RNA (444 nucleotides) under uncultured prokaryote. Its description in RNAcentral is "bacterial SSU rRNA". It matches the Rfam family "Bacterial small subunit ribosomal RNA", at positions 355 to 796 of the family's 1533-position model. The record is from RNAcentral.